This 301-nucleotide ribosomal RNA is filed under the name uncultured bacterium. RNAcentral describes it as "partial 16S ribosomal RNA". It matches the Rfam family "Bacterial small subunit ribosomal RNA", at positions 509 to 809 of the family's 1533-position model. The record is from RNAcentral.
CAGCAGCCGCGGGAACACGUAGGUGGCAAGCGUUGUCCGGAAUUAUUGGGCGUAAAGCGCGCGCAGGCGGAUCAGUUAGUCUGUCUUAAAAGUUCGGGGCUUAACCCCGUGAUGGGAUGGAAACUGCUGACCUAGAGUAUCGGAGAGGAAAGUGGAAUUCCUAGUGUAGCGGUGAAAUGCGUAGAUAUUAGGAAGAACACCAGUGGCGAAGGCGACUUUCUGGACGAAAACUGACGCUGAGGCGCGAAAGCCAGGGGAGCGAACAGGAUUAGAGACCCCUGUAGUCCCUGUCUCUUAUACA